CUUUUUUCCCUUAAUCAACUUUCAAGAAAGCACAGAUCUUAUCUACUUUGUCCCAGCCCUGCUCUGAGAGCCCAAAGAUCUGCAUGAGGAGCCACAAAACAGAUGUCAUAUUUCUAGGGGCUGGUUGUAACUCAAGUUGGUCAACUGAAGUCUCAGGCUCCUCUGUACAGCCUUCAAAGUCUCUCUUCUGUAUACAGGCAGAUCUCAGUGCCCUUAGAGAGACAUUGGCCCAGGACUUCUCAAUUAACCCCACA
RNAcentral lists this long non-coding RNA (254 nucleotides) under Fukomys damarensis (Damara mole-rat). RNAcentral describes it as "lncRNA (ENSFDAG00000030118.1)". Lineage: Eukaryota; Metazoa; Chordata; Mammalia; Rodentia; Bathyergidae. The record is from RNAcentral.